AAUAGGGCGGUACCUUGAGCCGGUACCCUAACCAGGAAAGGCACGCUAACUACAUGCCAGGCAGGCCGCGGUAUACGUAGGUGGCAAGCGUUGUCCGGAAUUAUUGGGCGUAAAAGCGCGCGCAGGCGGUUUCUUAAGUCUGAUGUGAAAUUCUUGCGGCUCAACCGCAAGCGGCCAUUGGAAACUGGGAGACUUGAGUGCAGAAGAGGAGAGUGGAAUUCCACGUGUAGCGGUGAAAUGCGUAGAGAUGUGGAGGAACACCAGUGGCGAAGGCGACUCUCUGGUCUGUAACUGACGCUGAGGCGCGAAAGCGUGGGGAGCGAACAGGAUUAGAUACCCUGGUAGUCCACGCCGUAAACGAUGAGUGCUAAGUGUUAGAGGGUUUCCGCCCUUUAGUGCUGCAGCUAACGCAUUAAGCACUCCGCCUGGGGAGUACGGCCGCAAGGCUGAAACUCAAAGGAAUUGACGGGGGCCCGCACAAGCGGUGGAGCAUGUGGUUUAAUUCGAAGCAACGCGAAGAACCUUACCAGGUCUUGACAUCCUCUUGACCUCCCUAGAGAUAGGGAUUUCCCUUCGGGGACAAGAGUGACAGGUGGUGCAUGGUUGUCGUCAGCUCGUGUCGUGAGAUGUUGGGUUAAGUCCCGCAACGAGCGCAACCCUUGACCUUAGUUGCCAGCAUUCAGUUGGGCACUCUAAGGUGACUGCCGGUGACAAACCGGAGGAAGGUGGGGAUGACGUCAAAUCAUCAUGCCCCUUAUGACCUGGGCUACACAGUGCUACAAUGGAUGGUACAAAGGGCUGCAAGACCGCGAGGUUUAGCCAAUCCCAUAAAACCAUUCUCAGUUCGGAUUGUAGGCUGCAACUCGCCUACAUGAAGCCGGAAUCGCUAGUAAUCGCGGAUCAGCAUGCCGCGGUGAAUACGUUCCCGGGCCUUGUACACACCGCCCGUCACACCACGAGAGUUUGUAACACCCGAAGUCGGUGAGGUAACCUUUUGGAGCCAGCCGUCCGAA
RNAcentral lists this ribosomal RNA (1013 nucleotides) under Heyndrickxia oleronia. RNAcentral's name for it is "bacterial SSU rRNA". It matches the Rfam family "Bacterial small subunit ribosomal RNA", at positions 448 to 1460 of the family's 1533-position model. The record is from RNAcentral. Lineage: Bacteria; Bacillati; Bacillota; Bacilli; Caryophanales; Bacillaceae.